ACUUCAAAUUAUUGUCUUCAAGUAAUAUGAUUCCCCAAACAUAUUAUACCAACAUCAAUGAGGUUUCAAAAUGAGGAUCAUUUUCUCUUUGAAAAAAAGAUCUUACGAGUAUUUCUCUGAUUUCUUCGGACAACACUACUUCAAAUUCAUUGUCUGCGUAGCCCACACAUUCAUCUUCCUAGUAGCUGUAACCCUCAGCUGGACAUCCCCGGUACUGCCUAAAUUGAGCGGGACCAAGGAUAAUCCCUUGGGGAAUCCCAUUACACCAGACGAAAGUGACCUCAUUGGAUCCCUCUUGUACAUUGGUGCUGCCAUUGGACCUAUAUUAUUCAUACCUGCAGCUGAACAUUUUGGAAGAAAACACGUUUUACAAUUUCUAGCUUUUAUACCACUGUUUACUUAUGGAACAUUUUUGUUUGUUGAAGUAGUUGAGUUUUAUUUUGUUUGUAGAGUGUUGCAGGGUAUUUUUGUAGGUGCUACAAUGAGUGUUCAGUCUGUAUACGUUGCUGAGAUUUUAGCAGAAGAAGAUAGAGACUUCUAUAUGUCUCUGAGUACUACAUUUGGGUUUUCUGGAUUGAUUGUUGUAUACGCUGUAGCUCCUUUUGUGCCACUUAUCUACUUCAAUGGGUUUUUAACAAUGGUGAGUGCUGUUGUGGUAAUUUUAUUUAGCUUUGGAUGUCCAGAUACACCUUAUCAUUUGAUGAAAACUAGAGGACAAACUUCUACUAACGAACUGUUGAUGCAGCUUCGAAAAAACUUCAAGAUGAGGGAGGCUGACGAAAUAAAGAAUAUUAUCGAUACUGAGGUCAGAGGUUCAUAUUUUGAUUUAUUCAAUUCUUGGCGGAAUUUGAAUACGCUGACUAAGGCUACAGUGCCUCUUCUUCUUCAACAGUUUUCUGGAAUAUCGAUUUUACUGACCUACAGUCAGCUGAUUUUCGAAGAAACUGAGAUUGCUAUAGCACCUGCUAUCUGCUCAUUGAUUGUGGCUUGUUUUCAAGUUUCAACGAGUUUCUUCACACCUUUAUUGCUCAAAUCUGGAAAAUUCUCAUUGAGGGCGUUGCUUUUGUUUUGUCUUUCAGGUAUGGCGUUUAGUAAUCUCGUUUUGACUUUUUAUUUCCUGUUAUUGAGAGAUGUGGAGUUUUUGAAUUGGCUACCGCUUCUAGGAUUGAUUUUAUUCGUACCGUUUUACAACUGUGGUAUAGAUCCUAUACCUUGGAUGCUGCUGGGGCAGAUUUACCCCAAAAACUUGAGUUCAGUUGGUGCAGCUCUCUCCGCUAGUAUGUACUUCCUAGCAAGUUUUCCUUCCUUGUUUUUUUUCAGUAAGGUGAAUAUAGGUUUUUUGUUUUUAAGUUCGUCAUGUUUUUGUUGCCUUGGCAUUCCCUAUGUUCUCUUUUGUUUCACUGAACCUAAAAGAAUUUAGUUAUCGAAUAUAUGGGCUACUGUGUCGAUGACUAUCAAUUUGUUGAAUUUUGAUUGGUUAAAUUGUAAUGUGACUGAUAGCAAAUCAGAAUCGAGUCAAUUUUUUAUUAAUAAAGUGAUAUCAAGGACGAUUAGAAGUUUUCCUGCCUGUUUUCCUGCGGUUAUUUUCGGGUAUCCUUGUUAUUCAGGUAAGUAGCGUAGUGUGGAGUUAUAUUUUCUUCCUCUAGUUGUGGAGGAAGUGCCAGUUUCAACAGUUGUCGUUUGGAAAUUGUUGUUCUGAAAUGGCAAUUUGGGAAAAAUUCGCCAAAUAUUUUGGACCGCGCUAUUCUCUUUUUGUAGCAUGUUUGGUGCACGAAGUCUACUUCAACAUAUGUCUGAACGCAGCAUGGCCUUCACCAGUUCUGGCCAAACUAAACAGGUUAGAUCCGGAAGACAAUCCCUUAGGAAGAAGAGUAACAGACGAAGAAAGUGACCUUAUUGGUUCACUGUUCUUCGUUGGAGCAGCCAUAGGACCUUUAGUGAUCAUCGUACUUGUAGAAAAGUUUGGCAGGAAGAAUGUCCUUGACGGUCUGUCCCUCAUGAUACCAAUAGCCUACGUAGUCCUGACGUUCACUAACGAUAUCGACAUGUACUUCAUUUGCAGAACGGUCCUUGGUUUUUACAGCGGUGCUGCUCUGAGCAUACAACCUGUAUACCUCACAGAAAUCCUUCCUAAGGAAGAGAAAGACUUCUUGAUGUCUUUAGAAACAGUAUUCAACUUUAUGGGCAUCUUGUACGCUUAUGCUAUUGCUCCUGCCAUUCCCCUCUUUUAUUUCAACCUCUCAGUUGUUAUAUUCGCAAUCUUCAUCUUCGUUUUACAGGCUGUGGCUUGUCCUUCAAGUCCUUUCGACGUCAUGAAAUCCAGAGGAGUAGAAGAAACCAGAGCUGUCUUGCAAACUCUAAGAAAUAAAGAAGAUGUAAACGCUGAACUGGAAGAAAUUCGAAAUAUCGUCAUCACUGAUUCCAAGAAGUCUUACUUUGACAUAUUCAAGUCUGUAGACAAUUGGAAGGCUUUGAUGGUUGGUACUGUCCCUUUGAUUAUCCAGCAGUGGUGUGGUAUCCCCCUUCUAAUCACUUAUAGCCAGUUGAUCUUCAAUAAAACCAACAUCUCUAUCAGCUCUGACAUGUGCUCCAUCAUUGUAGUGGUCUUUCAAGUAUCUACAACUUUCCUAACGCCAGUUUUAUUAAAAUGCAAAACGUUUACAAGGAAAGGACUGGUGAUUUUAUGUCUUACCCUCUUAGGUUUGUGCAAUCUAGUCCUAGCCUUGUACUUCUUCUACGGGUUGACAAUCCCUGCCUUGAAUUGGCUUCCUAUGGUAGCUUUGAUAGCGUUUGUUAUCUCUUACAAUUGUGGAAUUGAUUCGAUCCCCUGGAUCAUUAUGGGUGAGAUCUACCCAACAAAGAUAAGUGCUGUUGGAUCAGCGAUAUCUACCAGUUUAUUCUUUGGUUCUAUAUUCCCUCUUUUGUAUUCUUUCAGAAAGGUUAAUAUUGGGUAUUUGUUUUUGACAUCUUUUACUGAUUGUGUUGUCGGAGUACUUUUCUUCGCUUUUGUUUAUGUUAAUUUGAAGAAGAGUUAUAGGAAGGGCCGGAAUCCAAAUUGUUGAAGGGUAGAUUUUCAGAUGAAUAAU
Harmonia axyridis is the source of this 3086-nucleotide RNA transcript. It is a transcript of the gene named facilitated trehalose transporter Tret1-like, with no coding region annotated. NCBI's taxonomy places the organism in Eukaryota, Metazoa, Arthropoda, Insecta, Coleoptera, Coccinellidae. The transcript has 3 exons. The record is from RefSeq and is a predicted model, not a curated record.